UACGGAGGAUGCAAGCGUUAUCCGGAAUCAUUGGGCGUAAAGCGUCCGCAGGUGGCCCAUCAAGUCUGCCGUCAAAGAGUGGAGCUUAACUCCAUAAAGGCGGUGGAAACUGGUGAGCUAGAGUUCGGUAGGGGUAGCAGGAAUUCCCAGUGUAGCGGUGAAAUGCGUAGAGAUUGGGAAGAACAUCGGUGGCGAAGGCGUGCUACUGGGCCGAAACUGACACUCAGGGACGAAAGCUAGGGGAGCGAAAGGG
This 253-nucleotide ribosomal RNA is filed under the name uncultured bacterium. Its description in RNAcentral is "partial 16S ribosomal RNA". It matches the Rfam family "Bacterial small subunit ribosomal RNA", at positions 524 to 776 of the family's 1533-position model. The record is from RNAcentral.